Molecule: ribosomal RNA, 952 nt
Filed under: Phascolostrongylus turleyi
Lineage: Eukaryota; Metazoa; Nematoda; Chromadorea; Rhabditida; Strongylidae
Description: large subunit ribosomal RNA
Source: RNAcentral
UAAAUUUUAUUUGUUUAUAAUUUGGUAUUGCAUAUCAUUUAAGAAAAAUUUUAUAAUAAUAAAUAAUAAAAUUAAAGGGUAGAAAAAUUUAUUUUUUUUAUUGUUUCAUAAUAAAAAUUAUAAUUUUUAGAGUUGAAAAGUCGACCUUUAGGAUAUUUGUGUUGUUUAGAAAAUUAGAAAGUUAUUUUGUAGUUGAGAUAUUUUUAUAAAAAGUAAAAGUUGAAGUAUUUUUUCUUCUAGUUUUAUAACUGUUUAUAUUAUAUAAAAGAUUAUGUUAGUUGAUGAAAAUAUAUAAUAAAACAAUAUUAUAUAGAUUAUUUUAAAAUUAGUAGCUAAAGUUUACAAUCAAAUGUAGAUAUAUCUAAUUUAAUUAAAAAACUCAAAAAUUAAUCAAAUGUUUAUUAAAGACUUAGACUUUUUAAUAAAGUUUGCUUCUGCCCGGUGAUGUAAUUUAAAUGGCAGUCUUAGCGUGAGGACAUUAAGGUAGCAAAAUAAUUUGUGCUUUUAUUGAGUUCCAGUAUGAAUGAAGUUAUUGGUUAAUUUAUUUUUUGAUUUUUAGGUGAAUUUUUAAUUAGUAAUAAAAAAGUAUUGUUAUAAUAAGACAAAGAUAAGUCUUCGGAAAUUCUUUUUUAAAAAUAAUUAAGAUUAUUUUUAAAAAUUUUCUAGGGCAGAAUAUUAUAUAAUUUUAAUACCUAUUUAUAAUUUAAUGAAUUACUCCGGAGUUAACAGAAAAUCAUAUCUAAUCUAGUUCUUAUAGUAAGAUAAGUUUUACAUCGAUGUUGUAUUUAAGUUUAUUAAAAAAGGAGAAAAUUUAAAUUUUAAGACUGUUCUUCUUUUAAUUAAUUUAACGUGAUAUUAGUUUAAUUCAUUGUGAGAUAGAAUUGUUUAUCUUGUUUAUUAUUUUUAAAAAGUUUUAAUAGUACGAAAGGAAAAUUAAAAAAAGUUUUAAACU